Molecule: ribosomal RNA, 466 nt
Filed under: uncultured bacterium
Lineage: Bacteria
Description: partial 16S ribosomal RNA
Rfam family: Bacterial small subunit ribosomal RNA
Source: RNAcentral
GAUGAACGCUGGCGGCGUGCUUAACACAUGCCAGUCGAACGAUGAAGCCCAGCUUGCUGGGUGGAUUAGUGGCGAACGGGUGAGUAACACGUGAGUAACCUGCCCUUAACUCUGGGAUAAGCCUGGGAAACUGGGUCUAAUACCGGAUAGGAGCGCCUACCGCAUGGUGGGUGUUGGAAAGAUUUAUCGGUUUUGGAUGGACUCGCGGCCUAUCAGCUUGUUGGUGAGGUAAUGGCUCACCAAGGCGACGACGGGUAGCCGGCCUGGGAGGGUGACCGGCCACACUGGGACUGAGACACGGCCCAGACUCCUACGGGAGGCAGCAGUGGGGAAUAUUGCACAAUGGGCGAAAGCCUGAUGCAGCGACGCCGCGUGAGGGAUGACGGCCUUCGGGUUGUAAACCUCUUUCAGUAGGGAAGAAGCGAAAGUGACGGUACCUGCAGAAGAAGCACCGGCUAACUACGUG